UUAACACAUGCAAGUCGAACGAUGAAGCCCAGCUUGCGUGUGGAUUAGUGGCGAACGGGUGAGUAACACGUGAGUAACCUGCCCUUAACUCUGGGAUAAGCCUGGGAAACUAGGUCUAAUACCGGAUAGGAGCGUCCACCGCAUGGUGGGUGUUGGAAAGAUUUAUCGGUUUUGGAUGGACUCGCGGCCUAUCAGCUUGUUGGUGAGGUAAUGGCUCACCAAGGCGACGACGGGUAGCCGGCCUGAGAGGGUGACCGGCCACACUGGGACUGAGACACGGCCCAGACUCNUACGGGAGGCAGCAGUGGGGAAUAUUGCACAAUGGGCGAAAGCCUGAUGCAGCGACGCCGCGUGAGGGAUGACGGCNUUCGGGUUGUAAACCUCUUUCAGUAGGGAAGAAGCGAAAGUGACGGUACCUGCAGAAGAAGCACCGGCUAACUACGUGCCAGCAGCCGCGGUAAUACGUAGGGUGCGAGCGUUAUCCGGAAUUAUUGGGCGUAAAGAGCUCGUAGGCGGUUUGUCGCGUCUGUCGUGAAAGUCGGGGCUUAACCCCGGAUCUGCGGUGGGUACGGGCAGACUAGAGUGCAGUAGGGGAGACUGGAAUUCCUGGUGUAGCGGUGGAAUGCGCAGAUAUCAGGAGGAACACCGAUGGCGAAGGCAGGUCUCUGGGCUGUAACUGACGCUGAGGAGCGAAAGCAUGGGGAGCGAACAGGAUUAGAUACCCUGGUAGUCCAUGCCGUAAACGUUGGGCACUAGGUGUGGGGACCAUUNNACGGUUUCCGCGCCGCNNNNAACGCAUUAAGUGCCCGCCUGGGGAGUACGG
RNAcentral lists this ribosomal RNA (823 nucleotides) under Micrococcus sp. RNAcentral's name for it is "bacterial SSU rRNA". It matches the Rfam family "Bacterial small subunit ribosomal RNA", at positions 48 to 885 of the family's 1533-position model. The record is from RNAcentral. Lineage: Bacteria; Bacillati; Actinomycetota; Actinomycetes; Micrococcales; Micrococcaceae.